GGGUGAGUAACACGUGAGUAACCUGCCCUUGACUCUGGGAUAAGCGCUGGAAACGGCGUCUAAUACCGGAUACGACCUGCCCCGGCAUCGGGUGCGGGUGGAAAGUUUUUCGGUCAAGGAUGGACUCGCGGCCUAUCAGCUUGUUGGUGAGGUAAUGGCUCACCAAGGCGACGACGGGUAGCCGGCCUGAGAGGGUGACCGGCCACACUGGGACUGAGACACGGCCCAGACUCCUACGGGAGGCAGCAGUGGGGAAUAUUGCACAAUGGGCGAAAGCCUGAUGCAGCAACGCCGCGUGGGGGAUGACGGCCUUCGGGUUGUAAACCUCUUUUAGUAGGGAAGAAGGGCUUCGGCUUGACGGUACCUGCAGAAAAAGCACCGGCUAANUACGUGCCAGCAGCCGCGGUAAUACGUAGGGUGCAAGCGUUGUCCGGAAUUAUUGGGCGUAAAGAGCUCGUAGGCGGUUUGUCGCGUCUGCUGUGAAAACCCGAGGCUCAACCUCGGGCCUGCAGUGGGUACGGGCAGACUAGAGUGCGGUAGGGGAGAAUGGAAUUCCUGGUGUAGCGGUGGAAUGCGCAGAUAUCAGGAGGAACACCGAUGGCGAAGGCAGUUCUCUGGGCCGUUACUGACGCUGAGGAGCGAAAGCGUGGGGAGCGAACAGGAUUAGAUACCCUGGUAGUCCACGCCGUAAACGUUGGGAACUAGAUGUGGGGACCUUUCCACGGUCUCCGUGUCGCAGCUAACGCAUUAAGUUCCCCGCCUGGGGAGUACGGCCGCAAGGCUAAAACUCAAAGGAAUUGACGGGGGCCCGCACAAGCGGCGGAGCAUGCGGAUUAAUUCGAUGCAACGCGAANAACCUUACCAAGGCUUGACAUAUACCGGAAACGUCCANAAAUGGUCGCCCCGCAAGGUCGGUAUACAGGUGGUGCAUGGUUGUCGUCAGCUCGUGUCGUGAGAUGUUGGGUUAAGUCCCGCAACGAGCGCAACCCUCGUUCUAUGUUGCCAGCACGUUAUGGUGGGAACUCAUAGGAGACUGCCGGGGUCAACUCGGAGGAAGGUGGGGAUGACGUCAAAUCAUCAUGCCCCUUAUGUCUUGGGCUUCACGCAUGCUACAAUGGCCGGUACAAAGGGCUGCGAUACCGUAAGGUGGAGCGAAUCCCAAAAAGCCGGUCUCAGUUCGGAUUGAGGUCUGCAACUCGACCUCAUGAAGUCGGAGUCGCUAGUAAUCGCAGAUCAGCAACGCUGCGGUGAAUACGUUCCCGGGCCUUGU
This 1270-nucleotide ribosomal RNA is filed under the name Rathayibacter tritici. Its description in RNAcentral is "bacterial SSU rRNA". It matches the Rfam family "Bacterial small subunit ribosomal RNA", at positions 104 to 1384 of the family's 1533-position model. The record is from RNAcentral. Lineage: Bacteria; Bacillati; Actinomycetota; Actinomycetes; Micrococcales; Microbacteriaceae.